This 72-nucleotide transfer RNA is filed under the name Gloeomargaritaceae cyanobacterium C42_A2020_066. It matches the Rfam family "tRNA". From Rfam's summary of the family: Transfer RNA (tRNA) molecules are approximately 80 nucleotides in length. Their secondary structure includes four short double-helical elements and three loops (D, anti-codon, and T loops). Lineage: Bacteria; Bacillati; Cyanobacteriota; Cyanophyceae; Gloeomargaritales; Gloeomargaritaceae. The record is from Rfam by way of RNAcentral.
GCCGGUGUAGCUCAGUGGUAGAGCACUCGAUUCGUAAUCGAGCGGCCACGAGUUCAAAUCUCGUCACCGGCU